UAAGGCUGGGCUGUGAUGGGGAGGGAAAAUUUACAGUACCGAAGGUCAUGAUCUCACACUGCCAAGAAAAGCCUCUAGCCAGGAGAAGGUGCCCGUACCGCAAACCGACACAGGUAGGCGAGAAGAGAAUUCUAAGGCGCGCGGAAGAACUCUCGUUAAGGAACUCGGCAAAAUGACCCCGUAACUUUGGGAGAAGGGGUGCCCCGGUAGUGUGAAUAGCACGAGGGGGCCGCAGUGAAAAGGCCCAAGCGACUGUUUAGCAAAAACACAGGUCUGUGCGAAGCCGUAAGGCGAAGUAUACGGGCUGACGCCUGCCCGGUGCUGGAAGGUUAAGGGGAGCGGUUAGGGGUAACCCGAAGCUGUGAACCGAAGCCCCAGUAAACGGCGGCCGUAACUAUAACGGUCCUAAGGUAGCGAAAUUCCUUGUCAGGUAAAUUCUGACCCGCACGAAUGGCGUAACGACUUGGGCGCUGUCUCAACGAGAGAUCCGGUGAAAUUUUAAUACCUGUGAAGAUGCAGGUUACCCGCGACAAGACGGAAAGACCCCAUGGAGCUUUACUACAGCUUGAUAUUGAACUUUGAUGCGAUUUGUACAGGAUAGGUGGGAGCCUAGGAAUCCGGAGCGCCAGCUUCGGUGGAGGCAUCGUUGGGAUACCACCCUGAUCGUAUCGAAGUUCUAACCUAGGACCGUGAUCCGGUUCGGGGACAGUGUCAGGUGGGUAGUUUGACUGGGGCGGUCGCCUCCUAAAGAGUAACGGAGGCGCCCCAAGGUUCCCUCAGAAUGGUUGGAAAUCAUUCGUAGAGUGCAAAGGCAAAAGGGAGCUUGACUGCGAGACUGACAAGUCGAGCAGGGACGAAAGUCGGGCUUAGUGAUCCGGUGGUACCGCAUGGAAGGGCCAUCGCUCAACGGAUAAAAGCUACCCUGGGGAUAACAGGCUUAUCUCCCCCAAGAGUCCACAUCGACGGGGAGGUUUGGCACCUCGAUGUCGGCUCAUCGCAUCCUGGGGCUGAAGUAGGUCCCAAGGGUUGGGCUGUUCGCCCAUUAAAGCGGUACGCGAGCUGGGUUCAGAACGUCGUGAGACAGUUCGGUCCCUAUCUGUCGUGGGCGUAGGAAAUUUGAGAGGAGCUGUCCUUAGUACGAGAGGACCGGGAUGGACGCACCGCUGGUGCACCAGUUGUUCCGCCAGGAGCAUAGCUGGGUAGCUACGUGCGGAUGGGAUAAACGCUGAAAGCAUCUAAGCGUGAAGCCCUCCUCAAGAUGAGAUUUCCCAAUU
RNAcentral lists this ribosomal RNA (1274 nucleotides) under Paenibacillus woosongensis. RNAcentral describes it as "partial 23S ribosomal RNA". It matches the Rfam family "Bacterial large subunit ribosomal RNA", at positions 1551 to 2819 of the family's 2925-position model. Lineage: Bacteria; Bacillati; Bacillota; Bacilli; Caryophanales; Paenibacillaceae. The record is from RNAcentral.